GUUCAGUGACUCUGACCUGCAGCAGUGAUGCAAACCCACCUGUGAAGAUCUACACCUGGUUUAAAGAAGGUGGAACCUCACCUCUAGGAUCUGGACAAAAUUAUAGCAUCACCUAUGUCUCUUCUGAAGACACUGGACUGUACUACUGUGAAGCUCAGAAUGAACAUGGAGCACAGAGCUCAGCUAGAUUGGCAGUCUCUUUGAAACACCACCCCGUGGUUCCAUAUGUAGCUGUUGGAGUUGGACUUUGUAUUGUUGCUCUUUUUCUCACUGUAGUUUUAUGGAGGAGGAGAAAGAGGCAGGAUGGAAAUACGGGCCAGCCGAACAAUCCAAAUGUGAACCAAACAGGCCGUAACAUCGGUCUUCCUAGUGAUGACACACCCAGUGUUCCUGAGAACACAUCUGAAGCUACUUUGAUGAACCCACAAUGACAAUAAGUAUGAAACCAAAACCCAGAACUGCACCAACAAGCCAAUGGACAACCACAGCUGAGAGAGAGAGAGAAAAAAAAUAUUUUUAAGCUCAAAGCACUUUCUUGAUCUUUUUGUAAUUUUUUUGUAUUAUUUUUACCUUUUAAACAUGUGCUUGCAUUUUUAAUCCCAAGGAUCUGAUAUGGACAUAUUUGGACAUAUCACCUUUUGUUUCCACUCUUAAAUAUUAAGAUGCUGAAGGAAGGGUCUCUUUGGAACGAUGCCAAAGAAGAACCAACACCAAAAGUGUUUCUUUCAUUGCACCAGUCCAAAGAACCCAUUCUGGCACCUGUUUUGAAAAUGUAUGAUGUACACAAUCCUAAAGGCUUAUUUAUAAUAUGGUCCGACAUCAAGCCUUGUGAAGCUGUCUAAGGCCAAAGUUCUACAUUUGCAGAUGUUUAUGUAAUAAAAGCUGCAUUACAAUA
Pygocentrus nattereri (red-bellied piranha) is the source of this 895-nucleotide long non-coding RNA. RefSeq lists it as uncharacterized. Lineage: Eukaryota; Metazoa; Chordata; Actinopteri; Characiformes; Serrasalmidae. The transcript has 5 exons. The record is from RefSeq and is a predicted model, not a curated record.